Molecule: ribosomal RNA, 100 nt
Filed under: Peromyscus maniculatus bairdii (prairie deer mouse)
Lineage: Eukaryota; Metazoa; Chordata; Mammalia; Rodentia; Cricetidae
Source: RNAcentral
GUUUUCAGCUGUACCACCCUGAAUGUGCCCAAACUCACCUGAUCUAAGAAGCUAAGCAGGGUUGGGCCUGGUCAGUACUUGGAUCGGGGAGAAGAGAGAU